UUAACAGUAAUGUUAUGGAUGAAGGAAGUGGUGUAGCGACUCUUUUGAGCGUACGAACAGAAACUUGAUAUAAGGCUAAAUGGUGGAUAAGAUUGCCGAACAAAUCGAAGUCCAAAAGGUAAACGUAAAACCAAGACAGUAAAUCAAGGCGUUGUGAAAGAGAUAGGAUUAGUGA
Candidatus Stoquefichus sp. KLE1796 is the source of this 175-nucleotide non-coding RNA. The record is from Rfam. Lineage: Bacteria; Bacillati; Bacillota; Erysipelotrichia; Erysipelotrichales; Erysipelotrichaceae.